AGACAAACUCCGAAUGCCAAUUAAUUUAACUUGGGAGUCAGAACAUGGGUGAUAAGGUCCGUGUUCGAAAGGGAAACAGCCCAGACCACCAGCUAAGGUCCCAAAAUAUAUGUUAAGUGGAAAAGGAUGUGGCGUUGCCCAGACAACUAGGAUGUUGGCUUAGAAGCAGCCAUCAUUUAAAGAGUGCGUAAUAGCUCACUAGUCGAGUGACACUGCGCCGAAAAUGUACCGGGGCUAAACAUAUUACCGAAGCUGUGGAUUGUCCUUUGGACAAUGGUAGGAGAGCGUUCUAAGGGCGUUGAAGCAUGAUCGUAAGGACAUGUGGAGCGCUUAGAAGUGAGAAUGCCGGUGUGAGUAGCGAAAGACGGGUGAGAAUCCCGUCCACCGAUUGACUAAGGUUUCCAGAGGAAGGCUCGUCCGCUCUGGGUUAGUCGGGUCCUAAGCUGA
Molecule: ribosomal RNA, 447 nt
Filed under: Staphylococcus aureus
Lineage: Bacteria; Bacillati; Bacillota; Bacilli; Caryophanales; Staphylococcaceae
Description: partial 23S ribosomal RNA
Rfam family: Bacterial large subunit ribosomal RNA
Source: RNAcentral